RNAcentral lists this ribosomal RNA (506 nucleotides) under uncultured Glomeromycotina. Its description in RNAcentral is "SSU rRNA". It matches the Rfam family "Eukaryotic small subunit ribosomal RNA", at positions 569 to 1077 of the family's 1831-position model. Lineage: Eukaryota; Fungi; Glomeromycota. The record is from RNAcentral.
AGCAGCCGCGGUAAUUCCAGCUCCAGUAGCGUAUAUUAAAGUUGUUGCAGUUAAAAAGCUCGUAGUUGAAUUUCGGGAUCAGACUGUCGGUCGUGCCUCGGUACGCACUGGCAUUAUUGGUUCCUACCUUCUGAAGAACCGCGAUGUCAUUAAUUUGGUGUCGCGGGGAAUCAGGACUGUUACUUUGAAAAAAUUAGAGUGUUUAAAGCAGGCGCACGCUUGAAUACAUUAGCAUGGAAUAAUGAAAUAGGACGUUUGAUUCUAUUUUGUUGGUUUCUGGGAUCGACGUAAUGAUUAAUAGGGAUAGUUGGGGGCAUUAGUAUUCAAUUGUCAGAGGUGAAAUUCUUGGAUUUAUUGAAGACUAACUACUGCGAAAGCAUUUGCCAAGGAUGUUUUCAUUAAUCAAGAACGAAAGUUAGGGGAUCGAAGACGAUCAGAUACCGUCGUAGUCUUAACCAUAAACUAUGCCGACUAGGGAUCGGAUGAUGUUAAUUUUAUAAUGACUC